GGAGUACAGGUGGUGGCAUGGUUGUCGUCAGCUCGUGUCGUGAGAUGUGGUUAGUCCGCAACGAGCGCAACCCUUGUCUUCAGUUACCAUCAUUCAGUUGGGGACGUCUGGAGAGACUGCCGGUGGACAAACCGGAGGAAGGUGGGGAUGACGUCAAAUCAUCAUGCCCCUUAUGACCUGGGCUACACACGUACUACAAUGGCGUAUACAACGGGAAGCGAAAUGGUGACAUGGAGCAAAUCUCACAAAGUACGUCUCAGUUCGGAUUGAAGUCUGCAACUCGACUUCAUGAAGUCGGAAUCGCUAGUAAUCGCGGAUCAGCAUGCCGCGGUGAAUACGUUCUCGGGCCUU
This 351-nucleotide ribosomal RNA is filed under the name uncultured Erysipelothrix sp. RNAcentral's name for it is "bacterial SSU rRNA". It matches the Rfam family "Bacterial small subunit ribosomal RNA", at positions 1029 to 1382 of the family's 1533-position model. The record is from RNAcentral. Lineage: Bacteria; Bacillati; Bacillota; Erysipelotrichia; Erysipelotrichales; Erysipelotrichaceae.